GAUGAACGCUAGCGGCAGGCCUAAUACAUGCAAGUCGAGGGGCAGCGCGGUAGCAAUACUGGCGGCGACCGGCGCACGGGUGCGUAACACGUAUGCAACCUACCUUCAACUGGAGGAUAGCCCGGGGAAACUCGGAUUAAUACUCCAUAACACAGGGAUCCCGCAUGGGAAUAUUGUUAAAGCUACGGCGGUUGAAGAUGGGCAUGCGUUCGAUUAGCUAGUUGGUGUAGGUAACGGCUCACCAAGGCUACGAUCGAUAGGGGGUCUGAGAGGAUGAUCCCCCACACUGGUACUGAGAUACGGACCAGACUCCUACGGGAGCAGCAGUAGGGAAUAUUGGUCAAUGGGCGCAAGCCUGAACCAGCCAUGCCGCGUGCAGGAAGAAGGCCCUCUGGGUUGUAAACUGCUUUUGAUAGGGAACAAAUGCCACUUGCGAGUGGAGCUGAGUGUACCUAUAGAAUAAGCACCGGCUAACUCCGUGCCAG
This 485-nucleotide ribosomal RNA is filed under the name uncultured bacterium. RNAcentral's name for it is "bacterial SSU rRNA". It matches the Rfam family "Bacterial small subunit ribosomal RNA", at positions 28 to 511 of the family's 1533-position model. The record is from RNAcentral.